UUUCCGUAGGUGAACCUGCGGAAGGAUCAUUACUGAGUGAGGGCCCCUCGGGGUCCAACCUCCCACCCGUGUUUAACGAACCUUGUUGCAUCGGCGGGCCCGCCUCACGGCCGCCGGGGGGCAUUUGCCCCCGGGCCCGCGCCCGCCGAAGCCACCUGUGAACGCUGUCUGAAGUAUGCAGUCUGAGACAAUUAUUAAAUUAAUUAAAACUUUCAACAACGGAUCUCUUGGUUCCG
This 236-nucleotide unclassified non-coding RNA is filed under the name plant metagenome. RNAcentral describes it as "partial contains small subunit ribosomal RNA, internal transcribed spacer 1, and 5.8S ribosomal RNA". The record is from RNAcentral.